Molecule: long non-coding RNA, 395 nt
Filed under: Elaeis guineensis (African oil palm)
Lineage: Eukaryota; Viridiplantae; Streptophyta; Magnoliopsida; Arecales; Arecaceae
Description: long non-coding RNA (EGUI_LNC079717)
Source: RNAcentral
CUCUCUCAACCAUAAAAAUCUCUUCAAAUCCCUCCUCCCACCGGAUGUCCCCCCUUCAAAUCGCCCUCUUAGAAACUAAAUCUCUUUUCCUUCUCUUCCUCGUUUGGGCGGAUUAAGCUUACCCUAGCUUCAAACCCUCAUCUCCAAACCGGCGAUCCAUCUCCCUAAAAAUCUUUGUUUUUUCUCUAAAAUUCUUUCCACUCUACCUCUCAUUAGGUCUCCUAAGCUGUUUGCAAGUCUCUGUUAUCCGAAAUAGCUCCCAAAUUGAAGCUACCGCAGAGAAGAAAGUCUAUUCGUGGAUUAGAAGAGGAUGUGCGCAGAAAAAGAAUGGCAGCCGAGCCCUCUCCUGCUCCAACCUCAGUUCAAAGUCCUGCUCCAGCUUCUUCACAGUCUCC